GAAUUUUCCGCAAUGGGCGAAAGCCUGACGGAGUGACGCCGCGUGUGGGACGAAGGCCUUCGGGUCGUAAACCACUGUCAGUGGGAAAGAUGGGUGUCGGCGCUAAUACCGCCGGCAUCUGACGGUACCUGCAGAGGAAGCCCCGGCCAACUCAGUUCCAGCAGCCGCGGUAAGACAGAGGGGGCAAGCGUUGCCCGGAAUUACUGGGCGUAAAGGGCGCGUAGGCGUGAUGGCAAGUCGGUCGUGAAAUCCCUCGGCUCAACCGAGGAACGUCGAUCGAUACUGCUGUUCUUGAGGAUUGCAGAGGAGACUGGAAUUCCCGGUGUAGCGGUGCAAUGUGUAGAGAUCGGGAGGAACACCGGUGGCGAAGGCGGGUCUCUGGGCAAUUCCUGACGCUGAGGCGCGAAAGCGUGGGGAGCAAACGGGA
RNAcentral lists this ribosomal RNA (427 nucleotides) under uncultured bacterium. RNAcentral describes it as "bacterial SSU rRNA". It matches the Rfam family "Bacterial small subunit ribosomal RNA", at positions 359 to 777 of the family's 1533-position model. The record is from RNAcentral.